RNAcentral lists this ribosomal RNA (311 nucleotides) under uncultured bacterium. RNAcentral describes it as "bacterial SSU rRNA". It matches the Rfam family "Bacterial small subunit ribosomal RNA", at positions 28 to 339 of the family's 1533-position model. The record is from RNAcentral.
GACGAACGCUGGCGGCGUGCUUAAUACAUGCAAGUCGAGCGAGGCCCCUCCUUCGGGAGGGUGCCCUAGCGGCGAACGGGUGAGUAACACGUGGGCAACCUGCCCUCAGCUCUGGGAUAACCCCGGGAACCGGGCUAAUACCGGAUACGACCACAGCGGGCAUCCGCUUGUGGUGGAAAGAUUCAUCGGCUGAGGAGUGGGCCCGGCGGCCUAUCAGCUUGUUGGUGGGGUAAUGGCCACCAAGGCAACGACGGGUAGCCGGCCUGAGAGGGCGACCGGCCACACUGGGACUGAGACACGGCCCAGACUCC